AUGAUCAAAUGAUAAGUUAUUAACAAGGACGAUAAUUUAUCAAGUGUAGGUCGCUGUAUGCCAUAUGUGUUGGUUGUCCUCAUAACCAAGUGGUGUGGAGGCACUAGUAUGGCAUCCAGGUGAGAUAUAAGAGUAUAUCUGUAUUGAACGUGACCAAUGUAAUACUCUACUGUUAAGAGUAGUUAGCUAAGGCCAAUGGGUAUAAGUAUCCCUCCGACCUG
This 221-nucleotide long non-coding RNA is filed under the name Elaeis guineensis (African oil palm). RNAcentral describes it as "long non-coding RNA (EGUI_LNC054771)". Lineage: Eukaryota; Viridiplantae; Streptophyta; Magnoliopsida; Arecales; Arecaceae. The record is from RNAcentral.